RNAcentral lists this ribosomal RNA (254 nucleotides) under uncultured bacterium. Its description in RNAcentral is "partial 16S ribosomal RNA". It matches the Rfam family "Bacterial small subunit ribosomal RNA", at positions 524 to 776 of the family's 1533-position model. The record is from RNAcentral.
UACGUAGGGUGCGAGCGUUGUCCGGAAUUACUGGGCGUAAAGAGCUCGUAGGUGGUUUGUCGCGUUGUUCGUGAAAACUCACAGCUUAACUGUGGGCGUGCGGGCGAUACGGGCAGACUGGAGUACUGCAGGGGAGACUGGAAUUCCUGGUGUAGCGGUGGAAUGCGCAGAUAUCAGGAGGAACACCGGUGGCGAAGGCGGGGUCUCUGGGCAGUAACUGACGCUGAGGAGCGAAAGCGUGGGGAGCGAACAGG